RNAcentral lists this small RNA (151 nucleotides) under Brevibacillus panacihumi. RNAcentral's name for it is "c-di-AMP sequence". It matches the Rfam family "c-di-AMP riboswitch aptamer (ydaO/yuaA leader)". From Rfam's summary of the family: This family represents a conserved RNA structure found upstream of the ydaO and yuaA genes in Bacillus subtilis and related genes in other bacteria. The ydaO/yuaA element is thought to act as a genetic "off" switch for the ydaO and yuaA genes in its native state. Lineage: Bacteria; Bacillati; Bacillota; Bacilli; Caryophanales; Paenibacillaceae. RNAcentral also lists the same sequence under 1 other name. The record is from RNAcentral.
CAAACAAACAAGCCGAGACUUCCAGUUGGCUGGAAGUGCGGGGGAUGAUAUUGCGAAAGAAAUUUCGCUUGGGGUGAAUCGCUUACAGCGAUGGGUUGUAUCCUCAACCCAAAUCCGACAACUAACCUCGUAGGCAGAAAAAAGGAGACGA